GGAGAAGGAGCGAGCGAGGCCGAAGGAGCCCCCUGCCCUCCUCUCCCUCGUGGACUGGGCCCGGGGCGGGGGCUCAGGGCUGAGGGGGGCCCUGCGGCUGCCCUCCUUCAAGGUGAAGCGGAAAGAGCCGUCAGAGCUGAACGAGGCGGGGGAGGAGAAACGGCCCCGGCCCCCCACCCCCCCCGAGGAGGAUGAGGACGACAAAGAACUCCCCCCUGGAGCCCCCCGGGCCGAGGCCCCCGGGAAGCGCCGGAAGCUUUUCCGGCUGGACAGCGAAGGGGAGGAGGCGUCCGAGGAGUCAUCCUCGGGCAAGGAGGAGGAGGAGGAAGAGGCCGAAGAGGCGCCGAGGAGAAGGAGGAGGAGAGGGAAGGGGGAGCCCCCCGCCCGCAGGGAGGGGGAGAGACGGGGACCCCCAGAGCGGGCAGAG
Long non-coding RNA from Empidonax traillii (willow flycatcher), 427 nucleotides. RefSeq lists it as uncharacterized. Lineage: Eukaryota; Metazoa; Chordata; Aves; Passeriformes; Tyrannidae. The record is from RefSeq and is a predicted model, not a curated record. The transcript has 4 exons.